UUGACCUCAAAUCAAGGUAGGACUACCCCGCUGAACUUAA
RNAcentral lists this ribosomal RNA (40 nucleotides) under Fuscoporia contigua. RNAcentral describes it as "partial 28S ribosomal RNA". The record is from RNAcentral. Lineage: Eukaryota; Fungi; Basidiomycota; Agaricomycetes; Hymenochaetales; Hymenochaetaceae.